GUACUCACUUCAGCAGCACAUAUACUGAAACUGGAAUGAUACAGAGAAGAUUAGCAUGGCCCCUGCGCAAGGAUGACAUCAUAGCAGCAACUCAGAGCAAUGCACUAUU
Ochotona curzoniae (black-lipped pika) is the source of this 109-nucleotide small nuclear RNA. The record is from RefSeq and is a predicted model, not a curated record. Lineage: Eukaryota; Metazoa; Chordata; Mammalia; Lagomorpha; Ochotonidae.